AGUGAACGCUGGCGGUAGGCCUAACACAUGCAAGUCGAACGGCAGCACAGUAAGAGCUUGCUCUUACGGGUGGCGAGUGGCGGACGGGUGAGGAAUACAUCGGAAUCUACUUUUUCGUGGGGGAUAACGUAGGGAAGCUUACGCUAAUACCGCAUACGACCUACGGGUGAAAGCAGGGGAUCUUCGGACCUUGCGCGAUUGCAUGAGCCGAUGUCGGAUUAGCUAGUUUGCGGGGUAAAGGCCCACCAAGGCGACGAUCCGUAGCUGGUCUGAGAGGAUGAUCAGCGACACGGGAACUGAGACACGGUACAGACUCCUACGGGAGGCAGAAGUGGGGAAUAUUGGAAAAUGGGCGCAAGCCUGAUCCAGCCAUACCGCGUGGGUGAAGAAGGCCUUCGGGUUGUAAAGCCCUUUUGUUGGGAAAGAAAAGCAGCAGGUUAAUACCCCGCUGUUCUGACGGUACCCAAAGAAUAAGCACCGGCUAACUUCGUG
This 492-nucleotide ribosomal RNA is filed under the name uncultured bacterium. RNAcentral's name for it is "partial 16S ribosomal RNA". It matches the Rfam family "Bacterial small subunit ribosomal RNA", at positions 29 to 507 of the family's 1533-position model. The record is from RNAcentral.